GCUACGGGAGACAGCAAUAGGGAAUUUUCGGCAAUGGGGGGAACCCUGACCGAGCAACGCCGCGUGAACGAAGAAGUUAUUCGUAAUGUAAAGUUCUUUUAACAGGGACGAAAGAGAAAUUUGACGGUACCUGAAGAAUAAGCUCCGGCUAAAUACGUGCCAGCCGACGCGGUAAUACGUAGGGAGCGAGCGUUAUACGGAAUUAUUGGGCGUAAAGGGUGCGUAGAUGGCAUAGUAAGUCUUUUGUAAAAAUGGUGGGAUCAACCCAGGAGGGCAAAAGAUACUGCAAAUCGAGAGUAUGACAGAGGCAAGUGGAACUACAUGUGUAGCGGUAAAAUGCGUAAAUAUAUGUAAGAACACCAGUGGCGAAGGCGGCUUGCUGGGUCGAUACUGACAUUGAGGCACGAAAGCGUGGGGAGCAAACAGGAUUAGAUACCCUUGUAGUC
This 446-nucleotide ribosomal RNA is filed under the name uncultured bacterium. Its description in RNAcentral is "partial 16S ribosomal RNA". It matches the Rfam family "Bacterial small subunit ribosomal RNA", at positions 338 to 795 of the family's 1533-position model. The record is from RNAcentral.